Non-coding RNA from Meleagris gallopavo (turkey), 153 nucleotides. Lineage: Eukaryota; Metazoa; Chordata; Aves; Galliformes; Phasianidae. The record is from RefSeq and is a predicted model, not a curated record.
UCCGGUCCGCCCCUCGGGCUAUAUAACAGCGCUCCGCCCACCGUUCUUCUCAGUGUUGGGGGCGGGUGGGGCUCGGAGUGGGGUUUCGCCUGUUGUUUCAGCGCUGCGUUCGUGCGUGGAGAUGGCGCUUCCCCGCAACGCUUUGAAGCAGAA